This is a long non-coding RNA of Aquila chrysaetos chrysaetos, 6348 nucleotides long. RefSeq lists it as uncharacterized. NCBI's taxonomy places the organism in Eukaryota, Metazoa, Chordata, Aves, Accipitriformes, Accipitridae. The transcript is spliced from 3 exons. The record is from RefSeq and is a predicted model, not a curated record.
GUGUGCGUUGCCGCUUCAGAGCUUGCUUCUGUUUAUUUUCAAUACAUAAGGGAAGAGAUCAUGCAAAAUUUCCAAAAUGGUAGAUAAAAUUCAGCCAGUUUUAGGGGUGAGGAAGAGGAGUGGUAGAAAGAAGCCACUGAACAGCAUUUACUGCUUAUCAUUUAUAAGUAUAUGAUAGGAUUGAUAGCUGCUCAGAAACCCUUUCACUUGUGUCCAUUUUUUUUAAAGUCCUACUAUAAUAGGUAAUUAAAGUAUACUAAUUGAAUUAAGAUCCCAUCUGUCUGAGUUCAGCAAGCCAACAAGUCCCUUAAUUAAGAUAUCAUGUUUGCUAUAACAGAGGCUGCAAACACAGAGCUGGCCACCAAUGGUAUAAGCAAAUAUCUGUCUUCCCGUGACAAAGUGCCAGAGCAUCCAGUGGGCUGUGGAGAUCAAAAUAAAAUCUGCAAGAUAAGCAGCACUUGCUCGUGGGAUGACAAUAAAUGCAAGAAUAGUUAUGCUUCCUCUGAUAGCUGAGAAAAAUGCCAAUUGGAGCUGGGUGUAAACAUUUUUAAGCACUCAGAGGUAGAUGGCAGCGAUAGUAACUAAAAGACUCUGUGUUGGGUAUCUCAGCAUCUGAUCACCAUCACAAUGGGAUGAUGUCUAAUAUUGGAGGCAAGAAGAGAGAACAUAGUAGUUAAAAUCAGUGUCUUCAGGCAGCAAUUUCAAAAGGUUUAUAAAGUACCAGUGUACCCUCAAACUGAUUUGCAGACACAGUAGGCUCCUGGGCUGCUCCACCAUGGGCUGUCUUCACUUCUUUAUUUAACCAUGCGUGUAUAGAGUCCAUUGAGGAAUCUCCUUUUAGAUGCCGUAUCUUCACUGGUUUUGUUGUUGGGAUUGUAGUUUUCUGAACAAGACAUCAAAUUUAAGAGCUCCUGUGCCUGAAACUAGGGAUUUCCUUCUAGUCUGGGCUGCUGUGCCCAUGACACUGGUCUCUGAACAGGACCCUUCCCAGGAGAUGGUUUCAGCCAAGGAACCUGCUGAAAUUCUCAUUUAGUUUAUAAUUGUCUUUCUACAUUUCCUCCAGUAGCUUCAGCCUAAUGAAACUGUGUUAGGAUGCUUUAAAAGUCUGGAGGAAAAAUGUGCACAUGAAUGUAGGUGCCUCUUUGCAGCUGGAGGACAAGUCCAUGUCAGCAGUGCAUGAAAGCAGGUCCCCAGUGCGUGUGGUUUGGAUUGAGACAUGACGCAGAGGUAGGGAGAGGAGGUCGGUGAUUCCGAAGGGUGACAGCGGUGACCGAGCCAGCUGCAUCCCACCUGUGGUGACUUGCUCCAGGACAGUUGUCCUUUUCCCCUUGAUCUGUUUUGGAGCAAGAAAAAUGGGGGGGGUUUUGCUGCUCGUAAAGGAAUUUUCCUUGAUGGAGAGUUUGGGAGGUAGCGUAGGAGGUAGUGUGUGUCCGUAUUCAGUGUGUGGGGAGCUUUCAGGAGGAGCACACGCCACUGGGGAUCACCCCAUGGUCUUCCCAGUGCACCAGAGCAGGGACCAGGGCAGGCAUGAGGCCGUUGGUCUUCCAGAAGGAUUGGCAGAAGCGGAGGGAGCAGGAGAGCCGUCGGUCCAGGAUAAAGUCCUACAGACACGUGCUGAAGAGGCAGGCGUGCGUCUUUGACGGCGCGAUGCUUUGAGUAGACCGCAGAAGACAAUUUUUUUUCCCCUUAUGGGAAAAUUUCCCAAUGAGGAGGCUAGAUGAAAGCGGACGCUUCGUGAUGCAGUUUGAAAGCGAAGAGACAUCUGCCACAGAUCAGAAAAGCCUGGCAGGUGGAAAACACACCAGCCCUCCCUUCUCCCUGCCUUUAUCCUGUACGUGGCACAUCUCUGUUCCCCGUGUGUCGCAGCCACCAUGCUGACACGGGCUCUGUGCCGCUCGACGAAGAUCAGCAGCACCAGAAACCAGAGCUCUGCUGUCCCAGAGCGCGGUGGUGGGGCAACACACCGACCUCCCCUCCCUCAAUCCCAGCCGGUUUGUACCUUCCCCCUAAAAUACCGCACAAAGCUACAGGAGCUGGGAAGAUUCUGCAGCUCGAGAGCACAUGAGUGAAAACUGAAUUAUUUAGCAUAUUUUUUAGUGCAAGCAGGUGUGGGGUUUGAAGCGGUUUGAGUUGGGAAUUCUCUGCAGAGGAGUUAGGGUCUGGUGGGAUUUGAAAGAGCUGGACAAGUUUUCCAUUCCUGUCCUCCUCUUGCUGCCUCUUGACAGCCUUUCCUUUUUUUUAGGUCUGGAUUCUUGUUCUCUUUCUUGUGUUUUCCAUCGCCUGUAACUUCCCCCUCUCCCUUUAUUUCGCUGAAGCGCCUGUGGAUGCUGCUGUAACGAUCUAUUGAGCACUGACAGCGUGCUCGACGCCGCGUACCAGCGUGCGAGGCGAUGCGGCCCCUCGUCCCGGGGGAUUUGGCCAUCUCCUGCAGACACUGACAGUGCGGUUCAGACCAUCGCGAGCAACCAGAUGCUAGUUCAGCUGGAAACAGAGCCGCCGAGGCUUGCCGAAAUCCUUGGCAGGAGGCAAGGACUGGCUUUGGAGGUGGUUUUGUUAGAGGCUGCGGAGGGGGGCUUGCUCUGUGCGUGUGUAGGUUUUGGUGCGUUUAUUCAGGUUUUUUUAUUUUAUUUUAUUGUUUUUAGAAGGCGGGGGGUGGUUUGCAAAGCUGUGUGAGCACUGAAGCAGCGUGCCCUUCGUCCCGAAGGGAGAGGACGGGGACGGACACACAGAGGUGGCUCGGGCAGCUCCACUGUGAACCACGUCAGAGUGGUUUUGGACCAAUGUUCCCCCAAAAUCUCUUUCUCCCCCCAACCACUUUGUUCAGGCAUUUGGGACCAUGUGUGCGCGUGAGCAUCAGACAGACGCUGUUCUCCUCCACGAUCUGCUCAACUCCAUCUCGCCCAGAUUUUUCCUGCAGCCUUUGGUGCUGGUUAAUCCCCGACUCCGCUCGUAGGGAGGGCUCCCGUGUGCACGGGCUCAGGGCUGUGACACCAGCUGGCCCAGCUCUGCCUGUCCCCAGGGGUACAGGGAAGGACAAUUUGGGCAACAAACGCUAAUCCAGCGCUGCUCCUGUGCACGCACACAGCCAAGAGCUGUGACUGCAGCCACCCUCGCACCCCAACGCUUUUGGAUAAUUUUGUGCAACCCAAACACGAGAGGAAACCCUCACCACGAUCCGGAUGGUAACAGAUACGCUCCAGCAUGGCAAAUGGCAAACCGCACCGUGAGCGGUGACCUUAGGGGCCUGGAGGAGAAGGGGUUACUGCAUCACAUCUCCCUCCUACUUUUUGGACACAAGCCUGUAGGAAACAAGACAUUUGGGUAGCAGAUGGGUGCUCUGGUGGGUCUGGAAACCUCUCAGGCAAAAGUAAAUCCUUCCUUCCCAGCAGGAGGUUCAGGCCUUAUUCUGCAGAACAGCGUGUACGAGCUGAGCUCCCCUAAGGGAGCAGAUUGCCCUAUUCCUCCGGCGCUUGGCUGGAUGCCGUCCUGCCACCAGUGCACUGAACAGCAAAGCAAUCCUGUUGCUUAACCCUCAAGCCCUGUCCCUCAAAGGGAAGCAGCGUUCGAUGCUCUCAGCUUGUGUUGGCACCGCGAAACGUGGUCUGUGAAGAGGAGAAACCCUUCCCUUAGCAAAGGAAAGAUGACACACAGCAGCAAAGAGACUUCAAGAGGACUUGAAAGGCGCAUCGGCUCCCCAGAGAAGGCGGGGGGUCAUGGGCCGGAGCGGGACCCCUGGCACCCACGCUGCCCCGGCUCCGCUGCUUGACCCGUCCUGAGGUCUUGGGCAAGUGCCAUCGCUCUGUGUUCAGCGUGAUGCUGGCCUGGCACUAGCCAUAACAAAAAUCGGAUCCAAAGUUGCUUUUAUGCACACAGAAGAGCAGGAGAACCAGCGACAUUAAUGCAUCCAGGAGCUACCUAUGGCUAUUGAAAUGGGGGAUUACAAGCAUAAAGGCUUGGCUGACUCACUAGACCUCAUUAAAGUCUAAUAAUCUCUAUAAAGAUGCAGCAUUGCACAUACGCAGCAGCCCUAGCCCGUCUGAGCUAAAGCUCAGCAAAGGCUCUAUUAGCCAUUUGAGAGUUUGGGCAUGAAACCAUAAAAUGUGUUUGUGUUGUGAACGCACUUAGGUCAGGAUUCCCUCCGUGAGGCUCAACCUCGACAGUUUGGUUUAGGAACAAAAGGGCCAGGCUUGUCCCAGCGAGGGAUGUUACGGCAUCUGCGAUGUCGCUGGCAACCCGGGGAGCUGUGCUGGAGACUUCGGGGGAUGCAAAAAACCAGAAGCAACAAAAACGUUAAAAGCUUUGAGCUUCCACUGCCCUCCAAGCAACAUGUUAUACACUCACCCAGCUGCAGGAACUUCAGUAUCGCCAGCCUGAAAACUUAUAAAAGAAAACCUGGGAUGGACCGUAAAGCAAGCUAGAUGUAGAAAUUGUGAAAUGCAACACAAGUCGAGGUUUGUGUUUGUGUUUUGACGUCUAAGCCUCCAGAAAUCCCAUUUUCUUGGGUUUUUCUGUAAUUAAGCCGAUUGAUUGUUUUUUCUGGAAGCUGAAGUACUUGAGUAACCAAGUGACUCUGAUAGCCACUGCUCUGAGAACUCCAAAUACGCCAAAUUCUGGUGAAAACCUCAAAGGUUGGCACCUCUGCAAUGUUGAUGCCUUCAAAGAAGUUCUCGCAUCAAGUAGGGCGAAUAACCUUUUGUUGCUCAUUAGUUUGCCUGGAGGCUUUUAAUGAACAAACUUCCUUCUUGUUUGAGAACUUGGGGUCUGGCUGGAACCUGCAAAAAAUGUUUGUGUUUGGAAAAAACCUGACUGACCCCGACUUGAGGAAAAUUGAUGCCUUGAAGCUGUCAUAGCGGUGAGAAGGAUCUGGUUGUGCCAUCCUUGCAUUAAAUUGUACCUUCCUGUGAGAUUUGUCCUUUCCGAAAUCCUGGAGUAAUGCAUUAGCACAUUUUGGAGGUGAGAGCUGGCCGUGAGAGUCUCAUUUGAAUUUGACGCCACUGCUGGGUUUUUUUGGAUAUCGUAAAUAGGAAACGGUAAGGUAGAAGAGUAGAAAGACAAAGUCUGAUUGACUGGAAGAUUACAAAGGGAGAAGAGGUCCCAGUAACCUACAGAGAGAUGGAUUUAGGUUUAUUUGAGGUUGAUUAGUCCUAAUUAUUUUUUACGAUACAGGGCCAAAUUAAUAAAGGAGCACUUGGACUGCGCAGAGUUGAGAAAAAUGAUCUUAAUGGGAGAAUUACUCAAACAUUAAACAGCAUUUUAAGGAAUCGUAGAAUCAUUUAGGCUGGAAAAAACCUUUAAGAUUAUCAAGUCCAACCAUAAACCUAGCACUGCCAAGUCCACCACGAAACGCGACGUCUCAUCACUUUGGUCCUUAAAAGCGGAGGAAGCCGAAGUGGUGGGAGCCACCACCCUGGGAUGGAGACUGAUGUUGGGACAGGGGAGAUGUUGCGGGGGUUGUAUCCCUGCAGCAAGUCCAUCGGCUCCUGAUUUUUUUCUGACUCAUCUAAUCCCGGUGCUGGGGAGCCCGGAUUGACUCGUCCCCACCAGCUCUAAUGAAUGCAAUUAAUGGUCGGGGGCUGCUGGUUGAUUUUGGUGGGAGAGUGGAGCAGGCUGUUCUGGGAAGCCAGUUUCUAAAUGUGCAGAAGCACAGGUUAGCUUGGCUGGGAGGCUCAUGAAAUUUAAAUUAGGAGGAUUUUGUGGGGAAGAGGAAAAAGUAUUAACAAACUAAAGAGAGCUAAUUACUGGAGAUGGAGAACAUUCGCUGUGUAGUUGUAGAUGACAGCAGUAAGUAGUUCCCAUCAGGGCUUUUCUUGCUUUGGAGACAAAGAGGUUGGCCAUCCACUGAGUUAUCAAAGAUGAUAAGGGGCUGCAUUUUAUAAAUGGAGAUAGGCUCUAAUUGCAAAAAUGCCUGUGAAUACUUCCAUGGCACUUUGCUGAACCCUGGUGUCACGGAGGAUUUUUGAAGUCUGCUUUCCACAGUCAUUACAUACUGCUUCAUUUGUAAUGAAGUUUGCAACUCAUGGAACUUCAUUUGGAUAAAUUUUAGCUCCCCUCACCCCCAAAUCUAUUUUAUGUCCAUCUGCUAAUGGGGAAAGAAAUUAAACCUUGGUUCCUUGUGUAAUAUUGCAGCAGAGGCAGUCACAGGGAUUUAACUCCUCCGCUUGAGAAGCAGAAACUACUCCGCGGCCAACCUCCACCGUGCAGCACAGCUUGAGCAACACCCCACAAAGCGAAUAAUCAUAAGCUAUAAGCAAAUGCAUUCAAGUACACCUUAACUUAGUCCUUAAUGAGGGAAAUUUUACCAAAUGAGUCCGUGCAAAGACUCUCCCUUGCAUCUCGUUGUAGCAGAGG